GAUGAACGCUAGCGGGAGGCUUAACACAUGCAAGUCGAGGGGCAGCAUAGGGUAGCAAUACUCUGAUGGCGACCGGCAAACGGGUGAGUAACGCGUAUGCAACCUACCCUGUACAGGGGGAUAACCCGGAGAAAUUCGGACUAAUAUCCCGUAAUAAUAUCCGGAGGCAUCUUUGGAUAUUUAAAGUUCCGACGGUACGGGAUGGGCAUGCGUAACAUUAGCUGGUUGGUAAGGUAACGGCUUACCAAGGCUAUGAUGUUUAGGGGUCCUGAGAGGGUGGUCCCCCAACUGGUACUGAGACACGGACCAGACUCCUACGGGAGGCAGCAGUGAGGAAUAUUGGUCAAUGGGCGCAAGCCCUGACCGAGCAAACGCCGCGUGAGUGAUGAAGGUUUUCGGAUUGUAAAGCUCUGUCUUCCGGGACGAUAAAUGACGGUACCGGAGGAGGAAGCCAGGCUAAACUACGUGCCAGCAAGCCGCGGUAAAGAGUGGUGUA
This 496-nucleotide ribosomal RNA is filed under the name uncultured bacterium. RNAcentral describes it as "bacterial SSU rRNA". It matches the Rfam family "Bacterial small subunit ribosomal RNA", at positions 28 to 534 of the family's 1533-position model. The record is from RNAcentral.